Molecule: ribosomal RNA, 466 nt
Filed under: uncultured beta proteobacterium
Lineage: Bacteria; Pseudomonadati; Pseudomonadota; Betaproteobacteria
Description: bacterial SSU rRNA
Rfam family: Bacterial small subunit ribosomal RNA
Source: RNAcentral
CCUACGGGGGGCUGCAGUGGGGAAUUUUGGACAAUGGGCGCAAGCCUGAUCCAGCCAUGCCGCGUGAGUGAAGAAGGCCUUCGGGUUGUAAAGCUCUUUCGGACGGGAAGAAAUCGCAUGGGUUAAUACCCUGUGCGGAUGACGGUACCGUAAUAAGAAGCACCGGCUAACUACGUGCCAGCAGCCGCGGUAAUACGUAGGGUGCGAGCGUUAAUCGGAAUUACUGGGCGUAAAGCGUGCGCAGGCGGUUUUGUAAGACAGGCGUGAAAUCCCCGGGCUCAACCUGGGAACUGCGCUUGUGACUGCAAGGCUAGAGUAUGGCAGAGGGGGGUGGAAUUCCACGUGUAGCAGUGAAAUGCGUAGAGAUGUGGAGGAACACCGAUGGCGAAGGCAGCCCCCUGGGCCAAUACUGACGCUCAUGCACGAAAGCGUGGGUAGCAAACAGGAUUAGAUACCCUAGUAGUCC